CCUACGGGUGGCAGCAGUGGGGAAUAUUGCACAAUGGGGGAAACCCUGAUGCAGCGACGCCGCGUGGGCGAAGAAGUAUUUCGGUAUGUAAAGCUCUAUCAUCAGGGAAGAAAAUGACGGUACCUGACUAAAAAGCCCCGGCUAACUACGUGCCAGCAGCCGCGGUAAUACGUAGGGGGCGAGCGUUGUCCGGAUUUACUGGGUGUAAAGGGAGCGUAGGCGGGCCUGCAAGCCAGAUGUGAAAGCCCGGGGCUCAACCCCCGGACUGCAUUUGAAACUGCAAGGCUAGAGUGUAGUAGAGGUAGGCGGAAUUCCUAGUGUAGCGGUGAAAUGCGUAGAGAUUAGGAGGAACACCAGUGGCGAAGGCGGCCUGCUGGACGAUUACUGACGCUGAGGCUCGAAAGCGUGGGGAGCAAACAGGAUUAGAUACCCCAGUAGUC
This 440-nucleotide ribosomal RNA is filed under the name uncultured bacterium. Its description in RNAcentral is "partial 16S ribosomal RNA". It matches the Rfam family "Bacterial small subunit ribosomal RNA", at positions 338 to 795 of the family's 1533-position model. The record is from RNAcentral.